This 30-nucleotide non-coding RNA is filed under the name Homo sapiens (human). The record is from RNAcentral. Lineage: Eukaryota; Metazoa; Chordata; Mammalia; Primates; Hominidae.
AUCCCAUGCACACUUGGCUAUUCAGGGAGU